RNA transcript from Xiphias gladius (swordfish), 2738 nucleotides. It is a transcript of the gene named solute carrier family 22 member 2, with no coding region annotated. The record is from RefSeq and is a predicted model, not a curated record. NCBI's taxonomy places the organism in Eukaryota, Metazoa, Chordata, Actinopteri, Istiophoriformes, Xiphiidae. The transcript is spliced from 10 exons.
AUGUGUCCAUGUUGGAGCAUUUAUGUUAAUGAACUCCUGGGUGGGCUUUGGAGGCCUUCUGCCAGGUUCAAAUGACUUACACAGUCUGACGUCUGAAAAGGUGAUAGCAAACGUGUUUUAAUGCUCUGCUGCACUGCAGGUAGAGCAACAACGUCUUUCUUUGGACCUUUGCUCCUGCUUGACCUGUUAAAAACCCAAAGGACUUCACUUUUGUGGUCAGUCUGCAGAGAGAGGCUAAACGUACUGUGCACACUGGCAAGGCUGUAGACACUUUGAUACUGCGAUAGAAAUUGGUCAGAGUUGUUUGUUUAGAGAAAAGAAAUCGACACCUCUGCAACCAUGACCACUUUUGACGAUAUCUUGGAAGAAGCUGGAAAGUUCGGCCGGUGUCAGAAGCGUAUCUUCGCCCUGCUGUGUAUGGUGUCCAUGCCUUGGGCCGGUGUGUACGUCGGCAUCGUCUUCCAGGGUUUCACCCCGGACCACUGGUGUCGGGAUACUGCGGUGGUGGAGAGGAGGCAGGCGUGCGGCUGGAGCCUGGCAGACAGUCGCAGGCUGACGGUGCCCCUGGUCAACAGCUCCGGAGUGCUGCAGCAGAGCAGCUGUGAGCAGUACGAGGUGGACUGGAACAAAACAACGCUCACCUGUGACACACAGGAACUGGACCUCAGCAGAACUCCCACAACUGCCUGCAAAGAUGGCUGGGAGUUCGACUACGAGGGAAGACGGUCUUUUGUUACUGAGUUUGACCUGGUGUGUUCAGAUGGAUGGUUGGUGGACAUGUACCAGGCCACUCUCAACGUGGGAUUCCUGGUUGGCAGCAUUGCUAUUGGUUACCUGGCCGACAGGUUUGGCAGGAAAAUGAGCUUCCUGGUGUCCAACCUGAUGAAUGGCAUCGCAGGGAUCCUGGUGGCCGUGGCUCCAGACUACGUCUCUUUACUGGUUUUCAGAACGCUUUACGGGUUUGGAGUGAAAGGAGGCUGGGUGGCUGGAUACGUGCUGAUCACGGAGAUCGUGGGAGUGGAGUUCAGACGUACGGUGGGAGUCAUUUACCAGAUGUUCUUCAGCGUCGGCAUCCUUCUCCUCCCUCUGCUUUCCUACUUCAUCACAGACUGGCGCUGGCUGCAGGUCGUCAUCACCAUCCCCUACAUCCUCUUCCUGUCCUACUACUGGUUCAUCCCUGAAUCUCCAAGAUGGCUUCUCUCUCAGAACAAAAAGUCCAAAGCUGUGAAGAUCACCGAGGACAUGGCCAAAGAAAACAAGAGGACUCUGUCCAAAAACAUCGAGACUCUGACAGAUGAUAAUGCUCACUCCACUACCGCCUCCUUCAUGGAUCUGAUCAGGACUCCGAAAAUGAGGAAACACACCUUCAUCCUCAGCUACAACUGGUUCACCAGCGCGGUGGUCUACCAGGGUUUGAUCAUGCGGCUGGGUAUUCUGGGAGGAAAUGUCUACAUCGACUUCCUCAUCUCCGGACUGUUGGAGUUCCCCGCCGCCUUCCUGAUCCUCUUCACCAUUGAACGUAUUGGGCGACGUCUCCCCUUCGCCUCCGCCAACAUCGUCGCUGGAGCCUCCUGCUUCAUCACUGCCUUCAUUCCCGACAGUAUGUUCUGGUUUAAGACGAUGGUGGCCUGUAUUGGUCGGUUGGGUAUCACCAUGGCCUUUGAGAUGGUGGUGUUUGUUAACACUGAACUCUACCCAACGUUUGUCAGGAACCUGGGAGUAUCAGUUUGUUCCACUCUGUGUGAUGUUGGAGGCAUCGUAGCACCGUUCCUGCUCUACCGACUGGCUGUCAUCUGGCUGGAGCUGCCACUCAUCAUCUUCGGUGGGUUUGAUAUCAUCCUGUCUGCAAUGUCUGAAACGAUGGGUCACAAAAUGCUACAUGUUCAUUCUAGGAGAAAAAAAGAUGUUCGUCCUUAACAUGUAUACCGACGGAUACCUUUAUUCUCUUAACGCUGGUACGUUGUAAUUAACGUACUUGAGUAAACAAAUUGUCAGAUAUAAAGGAAUCCUGUCAAAGUACGUGGCGGUCUUUAAUAAAUUGCUGAAGAAUCCUGUUUGGACUUCAUGCAGUUUGGCUUCUUACUGCAGUUGUAGUCUCCCUCAUAGGCUGCCAUAUUUUGCCAAAACAGAAACCACACCAACCAGCCUGCCAAACACAAACUAUCUAUUUCUUUUUGAUCUGAGAGUUCAGCAUGUUGAUGAAACUGAACUGCAAGAGGAACAUCUGAUUGUUUAUUUUUACAAACUACGACCUUUAAUUAUACUUAGUAAUUUUUUUUAAGGUGAUCAAUAAACACUGAUGAGCCAAAACAUUAUGACCGCCUCCUUACUAUGCUGCUGAUCGUCCAUGUGUCGCCAAAACAGCCCCCGACCCACUGAGGCAUGGACUCCAAAAGACCUCGGGAUUCUGCCCCGUGGUAUCCGGCAUGUUGGCAUUAGAUCUUUUAAGUCCUAUAAGUUGCGAAGUGGAGCCACCACAGAUCAGACUUUGGAGGACAGGGCACAACUUGAAAUCUUGUCAUGUUCCUCAAACCAUUCCUGAGAAAUGUGUGCAGUGCGGCAGGGCGCAUUAUCCCGCUGAAAGAGGCCACUGCCAUCAGGGAAUACCACUGCCAUGAAGAGGUGUGUCUGGUCUACAAAAUCGUUUAGGGUCUCUGGCUUUCCUGGCUGGGGGCCUGGUGCUGCUCCUCCCUGAGACCAGAGGCGUGCCUUUGCCGGACACCAUCGAUGACAUCGAG